GUGGCCACAGAGCGCCGAGAGCGGGGUGGGGUCGGUGGUUUGCUCCUUGGGAUCGGAGGAAAGAGGUAGGGGAGCUGGGGGUGCUCGGCGACGUGGGGAGGGAGAGGGAAGGCACGCACGCGAGCCGGUUCCUACGGCGGCAGCGGGAGCCGAGGAGGAGGUGGUUGAGCGGAAGGGUAGCGAGCGCGCGUACAACGGCGGCAGCCUCUUGUCCGGUCACGCCCAGCGAAGGAGGAAAAGGAGGGCGGCCUAGAUUCCGCGCGCCGGCACCUCCGCUCGGAGAGGCCACCGCCGCCGUUUCCCACUGGUGUACCUAGCCAGGGACGUCCUCUCUCUUCUACCUUCUCUCCCUCUCGUCCUUCCUCUCAUCCCUCCGGGUCACCGCCUGCCCUCUCCCAAUGGCUGGCCGCGGCCGCUCCAGUCCACGCUGGACCACCAACCACCGCCGAGCUAGGUGAGGACCUAGGAAGAAGAAGGUGAAGGGGUGACGGAUUGUGGCUCCUUCUCCCGACCGAUUCCUUCUCCCGCUCCUGCGCCCCUAACUUCUCCCACAAGGACGCAAGUAACGGACCGGUUCCUGCUCCUGCUGCUGCACCCCACCUCGUACAGUAGGGAGACCAAUAGUGGAAGGAAAGACGAUGACCCGACUCUACUCCCAAAAGAGGUGGUUAACACCACCGGACUCAGUCUCUAGCUGUCGGUCUACGAACACCGAUGGUGUGUUUUGCACGAGAGAACGACUGGAGCUCCAGGUCUACGUUACCUAACAGAGGUUCCACAAAGAGGCUGGUCGUUGUUGUUUUGAGGUGUGAAAGAGUUAACACAACACUAACCAAGUACAGGUGGUUCCGGCAACGCAACCAGCGCCAUGAGCCGAAGGAAACCCAAACGAACGACAGCUACUUCUUCUUUCCACACUUGGUACACUUUUACCUGUUUGGGUGUCAGGAUCUACCAUGGUUAGUCCAAUAACUACGGCGGCCUAUCGACAGCAACCGAUAUUACACUAAUCUAAACAACUAGAAGACAUGACGGAGAUAGUUUUAUAAACAUGUUUAGGUCUGAUGUUUUGCAGAAUAUAAAACUAUCUCACUCCUGAUGUCUACCACAACCACCAUUGGACCCCUUCUGAAUAGCUGCACCUAUGUCGGUGUAAGGAACUGGCUUUACUAGGUUUGAUACUAUCAUUGUUCUAUCAAACCACGAGAGUACCAAUAAAACAUCUCUAACAGGAAGACAAGUAAUAAACCGUUAGUAGAUGACGUCGAGUCGAUGACAGGUCGACGAAGGGAAUACCGUUCUGCUUUGACUUUACCCCUAGAGCCUGUUCACGUUCCUCCCUUCGACAGCAUUCUAUCUAUUAUUUGAACGGAGGCGAGACUGUUCUCGUACAAGCAAGUCUGGAAAAGAAUGAUUUUCGAUAAAUAGAUAUCGUUCAUAAAGGUAAUCUUGAUAGUUUAAGUUUGAGGAUCUACAGAUACAGUCGUACAUCUUGAAACAGGUCCGUUUCUAUAGGGGAGACUAGAAAAACACUUAGGAAGGUGUGAAGAAACAUUUCACAAUGACUAAAAUUAUUUUAGAGAGAUAAUUUUUCUGUUAUAUUAAGUUCGAUGAUCUCAUCGAACAAGUAAGUCUG
RNAcentral lists this ribosomal RNA (1636 nucleotides) under Triticum aestivum (bread wheat). RNAcentral describes it as "partial small subunit ribosomal RNA". The record is from RNAcentral. Lineage: Eukaryota; Viridiplantae; Streptophyta; Magnoliopsida; Poales; Poaceae.